UCUAAGAGUGGCAGAAAAGUGCCAUGAGCUUAAAAUUCAUUUAUAAAAGAUAUUUCCUUAGAA
This 63-nucleotide transfer RNA is filed under the name Hemisphaerius rufovarius. RNAcentral describes it as "tRNA-Leu". The record is from RNAcentral. Lineage: Eukaryota; Metazoa; Arthropoda; Insecta; Hemiptera; Issidae.